ACCUACGGCCAUACCACCCUGAACGCACCCAAUCUCAUCUGAUCUCGAUUAGUACUUAGAUGGGAGGCCACCUGGGAAUACCAGGUGCUGUAGUCU
This is a ribosomal RNA of Loxodonta africana (African savanna elephant), 96 nucleotides long. NCBI's taxonomy places the organism in Eukaryota, Metazoa, Chordata, Mammalia, Proboscidea, Elephantidae. The record is from Ensembl.